RNAcentral lists this ribosomal RNA (253 nucleotides) under uncultured bacterium. RNAcentral's name for it is "partial 16S ribosomal RNA". It matches the Rfam family "Bacterial small subunit ribosomal RNA", at positions 524 to 776 of the family's 1533-position model. The record is from RNAcentral.
UACGAAGGGGGCUAGCGUUGUUCGGAUUCAUUGGGCGUAAAGGGUGCGUAGGUGGCGCUGUAAGUCGGGUGUGAAAUUUCGGAGCUUAACUCCGAAACUGCAUUCGAUACUGCGGUGCUUGAGGACUGGAGAGGAGACUGGAAUUCAUGGUGUAGCAGUGAAAUGCGUAGAGAUCAUGAGGAAGACCAGUGGCGAAGGCGGGUCUCUGGACAGUUCCUGACACUGAGGCACGAAGGCCAGGGGAGCAAACGGG